UACGGGGGGGGCAAGCGUUGUUCGGAAUUACUGGGCGUAAAGGGCUCGUAGGCGGCCAACUAAGUCAGACGUGAAAUCCCCAGGCUCAACUUGGGAACUGCGUCUGAUACUGGGAUGGCUUGAAUCCGGGAGAGGGAUGCAGAAUUCCAGGUGUAGCGGUGAAAUGCGUAGAUAUCUGGAGGAACACCGGUGGCGAAGGCGGCAUCCUGGACCGGUAUUGACGCUGAGGCGCGAAAGCCAGGGGAGCAAACGGG
This 254-nucleotide ribosomal RNA is filed under the name uncultured bacterium. RNAcentral describes it as "partial 16S ribosomal RNA". It matches the Rfam family "Bacterial small subunit ribosomal RNA", at positions 524 to 776 of the family's 1533-position model. The record is from RNAcentral.